This 253-nucleotide ribosomal RNA is filed under the name uncultured bacterium. Its description in RNAcentral is "partial 16S ribosomal RNA". It matches the Rfam family "Bacterial small subunit ribosomal RNA", at positions 524 to 776 of the family's 1533-position model. The record is from RNAcentral.
GACAGAGGGUGCAAACGUUGCUCGGAAUUACUGGGCGUAAAGGGCGCGUAGGUGGCCUUCUAAGUCGAACGUGAAAUCCCUGGGCUCAACCCAGGAACUGCGUCCGAGACUGGGAGGCUUGAAUCCGGGAGAGGGAUGCGGAAUUCCAGGUGUAGCGGUGAAAUGCGUAGAUAUCUGGAGGAACACCGGUGGCGAAGGCGGGUCUCUGGGCAGUAACUGACGCUGAGGAGCGAAAGCGUGGGGAGCGAACAGG